Molecule: small RNA, 804 nt
Filed under: Pan troglodytes (chimpanzee)
Lineage: Eukaryota; Metazoa; Chordata; Mammalia; Primates; Hominidae
Description: retained intron
Source: RNAcentral
AGGCUUCAGCAGGAUUUUGAGUUCAAAUUGAUGUUUAGGGACAAGGGGUCAAGGUAUGGAGAGGAAAUAACCAUGUUUCCUAACCCAUAAAACAAGACUGGUGACACAGGAUGCUGAAAGCAUUCAUUAUAGUUCAUAAUACUCUUUGAAGUUGAAGAUGCUGGCAAGAACCCAGAAAAGCCAUCGAGAAGGACUGUGAAUGCUGAAUGGGGGUGAAAAAUGGGGAAGGCUCAAAUGAUCUUUAUGCUUGAUAUACUCAUUCCCCUCACCCUCCCUUCCUUUAGGAAGUCAAAGUGGUGCCGCCCUACAUCUCUCAAUGUGGUUCGAAUAAUUACAUCAGAGCUCUAUCGAUCACUGGGAGAUGUCCUCCGUGAUGUUGAUGCCAAGGCUUUGGUGCGCUCUGACUUUCUUCUGGUGUAUGGGGAUGUCAUCUCAAACAUCAAUAUCACCAGAGCCCUUGAGGAACACAGGUUGAGACGGAAGCUAGAAAAAAAUGUUUCUGUGAUGACGAUGAUCUUCAAGGAGUCAUCCCCCAGCCACCCAACUCGUUGCCACGAAGACAAUGUGGUAGUGGCUGUGGAUAGUACCACAAACAGGGUUCUCCAUUUUCAGAAGACCCAGGGUCUCCGGCGUUUUGCAUUUCCUCUGAGCCUGUUUCAGGGCAGUAGUGAUGGAGUGGAGGUUCGAUAUGAUUUACUGGAUUGUCAUAUCAGCAUCUGUUCUCCUCAGGUGGCACAACUCUUUACAGACAACUUUGACUACCAAACUCGAGAUGACUUUGUGCGAGGUCUCUUAGUGAAUGAG